AGUGGGAUACCUGGGUCAAAUGGUGGUUCCAUUUCCAGUUUUCCAAGGAAUCUUCAUACUGUUUUUCAUAUUGGCUGCACCAGUUUGCAGUCCCACCAGCAAU
This 103-nucleotide microRNA precursor is filed under the name Marmota monax (woodchuck). The record is from RNAcentral. Lineage: Eukaryota; Metazoa; Chordata; Mammalia; Rodentia; Sciuridae.